AAUACACUUACGUUAUCUCGUAUAUGUGCUGGAAUAGGCCAGCAUGUCUCUACCCGAUCACCGCAAAUGAUUGGACUACGGGAGAAUCAAUAU
RNAcentral lists this non-coding RNA (93 nucleotides) under uncultured Paenibacillus sp. RNAcentral's name for it is "Purine riboswitch". It matches the Rfam family "Purine riboswitch aptamer". Rfam says of the family: Riboswitches are metabolite binding domains within certain messenger RNAs that serve as precision sensors for their corresponding targets. Allosteric rearrangement of mRNA structure is mediated by ligand binding, and this results in modulation of gene expression. A class of riboswitches that selectively recognises guanine and becomes saturated at concentrations as low as 5 nM. Lineage: Bacteria; Bacillati; Bacillota; Bacilli; Caryophanales; Paenibacillaceae. The record is from RNAcentral.